UUAGUUGUCAGCUAAGUGGCGCACGGGUGAGUAAUGUAUAGGUAAUAUGCCUCUUACUAAGGGAUAACAAUUGGAAACGAUUGCUAAUACCUUAUAUGCCUUUAAGACUUAAGUCUGCAAGGGAAAGAUUUAUUGGUAAGAGAUUAGCCUGUAUUGUAUCAGUUAGUUGGUGGGGUAAUGGCCUACCAAGACAAUGACGCAUAACUGGUUUGAGAGGAUGAUCAGUCACACUGGAACUGAGACACGGUCCAGACUCCUACGGGAGGCAGCAGUGGGGAAUAUUGCACAAUGGGGGAAACCCUGAUGCAGCAACGCCGCGUGGAGGAUGACACAUUUCGGUGCGUAAACUCCUUUUAUAUAGGAAGAUAAUGACGGUACUAUAUGAAUAAGCACCGGCUAACUCCGUGCCAGCAGCCGCGGUAAUACGGAGGGUGCAAGCGUUACUCGGAAUCACUGGGCGUAAAGAGCGUGUAGGCGGGUAUAUAAGUCAGAAGUGAAAUCCAAUAGCUCAACUAUUGAACUGCUUUUGAAACUGUAUACCUAGAAUGUGGGAGAGGUAGAUGGAAUUUCUGGUGUAGGGG
Molecule: ribosomal RNA, 581 nt
Filed under: uncultured Arcobacter sp.
Lineage: Bacteria; Pseudomonadati; Campylobacterota; Epsilonproteobacteria; Campylobacterales; Arcobacteraceae
Description: bacterial SSU rRNA
Rfam family: Bacterial small subunit ribosomal RNA
Source: RNAcentral